UAUUUUUUGUAGAGAUAGGGUUUCACCAUGUUGCCCAGGCUGGUCUUGAAUUCCUGGGCCCAAUUGAUCUGCCUGCCUCAGCCUCUCCAAAUGCUGGCAUUACAGGCCACCAUGCCUGACUUAUUUGGGGUUUUUUGGUUUGUUUGCAUGGCUAGUUUUCUUUUUUAGAGAUGGAAUCUUGCUCUGUAGCCCAAUGGCAUGACAUUGACUCACUGCAACCUCCACCUCUUGGGUUCAAGCGAUUCUGCCUCAGACUCCCGAGUAGCUGGGAUUACAGGUGUGCACCACCACACCUGGCUAAUUUUUGUAUUUUUGUAGAGAUGGGAUUUUAUCAUGUUCAUGUUAGCCAGGCUGAUCUUGAACUUCUGAUCUCAUGAUCCGCCCACCUCGGCCUCCCAAAUUGCUGGGAUUACAGGUGUGGGCCACUGCACCUGGCUUGUUUGUUUUUUAAAUUAAGAAACAGGGUCUCUAUUGCCCAGGCUGGAGUGCAGUGGUGUGAUCAUGGCUCACUGCAGCCUCAAACUCUUGGGUUCAAGUGAUCCUCCUGCCUCAGCCUCCCAAGUAGCUGAGAAUCAGGCAUGUGCCACCACACUCAGCUUAUUUGUUGUUUAUUUAUUAAUUGCAGAGAUGGGAUGUCACAAUGUGCCUCAGGCUGGUCUCAAACCCCUAGGGUCAAGCACCCCUCCUGCCUUAGCCUCCCAAAGUGCUGGUGUUAUAGGCAUGAGCCACUUUGCCUGGCCAGGAUAUAAUGUUUUUAUUUAUCUAUUUAUCUAUUUUUUUCUGAGACAGAGUCUUGCUCUGUUGCCCAGGCUGGAGUGCAGUGGUGCAAUCUUGGCUCACUGCAACCUCCACCUCCCCAGUUCAAGUGAUUCUCCUGCCUCAGCCUCCUGAGUAGCUGGGAUUACAGGUAAUACAGAGAACACCACAAAGAUAUUCCUCAAGAAGAGCAACCCCAAGGCACAUAAUCGUUAGAUUCACCAGGGUUGAAACGAAGGAGAGGAUACUAAGGGCAGCCAGAGAGAAAGGUCAGAUAACCCACAAAGGCAAGCCUAUCAGACUUACAGCAGAUCUCUCGGCAGAAACUCUACAGGCCAGAAGAGAGUGGGGGCCAAUAUUCAACAUCCUCAAAGAACAGAACCUUCAGCCCAGAAUUUCAUAUCCAGCCAAACUAAGCUUCACAACUGAAGGAAAAAUAAAAUCUUUUAUGAACAAGCAAGAACUCAGAGAUUUUAUUACCACCAGGCCUGCUUUACAAGAGCUUCUGAAAGAAGCAUUACACACAGAAAGAAACAACCAGUAUUAGCCUUUCUAAAAAUACACCAAAAAGUAAAGAGCACCAACUUAAAGAAGAAUUUACACCAACAAAUGGAUAAAACAGCCAUUCAACAUCAAAUGGCAGUAACCCUAAAUUUAAAUUGACUAAAUUUCCAAUCAAAAGACACAGCCAAAACCCAACGGCAUGUUACCUCCAGACCUGUUUCACAUGCAAGGAUACACAAAGACUCAAAACAAAGGGAUGGAGAAAGAUUUACCAACCAAAUGGAGAGCAAAAAUAAAUAAUAAAUAAAUAAAAAGCAGGAGUUGCAAUUCUCGUAUCGGAUAAAAUAGAUUUUAAAGCAACAAAGGUAUAGUGGUAAAAGGAUCAAUGCAACAAGAGCUAACGAUCCUAACACCCAGAUAGGAGACUUAGAUUCAAUGAGACAGAAAAUUAAUAAGGAUAUCAAGGACUCGAACUCAGAUCCGGAACAAGUAAACUUAAUAAAUAUUUAUAGAGCUCUCCACUUCAAAUACACAAAAUAUACAUUCUUGUCAAUACCACAUCACACCUACCCAUUAGUUUAAAUAAAACAUUGAUUGGCCAUUAUUAAUACCCAAUUUUUUUUCAAAAUAAAGCAAUAUUUCCAUUUACUCUCCCUCUUUCUCUUCCUCUUUCUUCCUCUCCUUUACUUUUUUUUUUUUCUUUCCUUCUCUCAAAAAAAAAUAAAUCAACUUGUAAACCUUUAGAUCCAGGUCGGCAAUGUCUCUUUCAUUGCUUGAUUUCCUUUCUUCCCUUCCCUCCCUCCCUCCCUCCCUCCCUCCCCGCUUCCUCCCUUCCUUCCUUCCUUCAUCCCUUCCUUCCUCCCUACCGUCCUUCUUCCCUUCCUUCCUGCCUUCCUCCCCCCUCCCCCCCAAAAAAAAAAAAGAAAAUAUACUGUGAGUUUAAUUAUUGUUUGUUUUACUGAAAGGCAAGCCUCAAAAGUUCCUGGGUGAAAAGGAGAAUGCAGCCAGGCAUGAUGGCUCACUCAUGCCUGUAAUCCCAGUACUUUGAGAGACCUAGGUGGGAGAAUGAUUUGAGCCCAGGAGUUCGAGACCAGCCAGGGCAACAUAGCAAAACCUCGUAUCUAUUUAAAAACAAAACAAAAAAACAGGAGUGGGCUCACACUGUCCAGUAGAACUUGAGGUUGGACUGGGCUGGAGGGUCCACCCAAUGGUGUCUUGUUCCAGAAUGAUUCUAAAGCCUUAAUAAUGGAUGUACUGGAAACAGUGGCUCCCUGUAAUCCCAGUGCUUUGGGAGGCUGAAGCAGGAGGAUCACUUCAGGCCAAGGGUUUGAGACCAGCCUGGGCAACACAGUGAGACCUCAUCUCAGAAAUAAAAAUUAAAAAAAAAAAAGAAUGGGUGUGGCUGCAACUUCAUUUGGUGACACGGCCUGGGUGAGAGGUAUAAUACUGGUUGUGAAAUACUAUUAGCCACCAUUUAUCAGCACCUCCUGCAUUCCAGGUGUUCUGCUAGCUGCUUUGUAUCUUGUCUCAAAGUCAAAUCAUCUCAUGAUCAGUCACAGUGGUUAGUCAGUCCUCAGGGCUAGUACAUCUGCUUCUCCACAUUCCCUGUUGCUCUGUUCAUUUCUUUCUUUUUUUUAGGCAGAGUCUUGCUCUUGUUGCCCAGGCUGGAGUGCAAUCACAUGAUCUCAGCUCACUACAACCUCCACCUCCUGGGUUCAAGCAAUUCUCUUGCCUCAGACUCCUGAGUAGCUGGGUUUACAGGCAUGCACCACCACGCCCAGCUAACUUUUGUAUUUUUAAUAGAGACGGGAUUUCUCCAUGUUGGUCAGUCUGGUCUCGAACUCCCAACCUCAGGUGAUCCACCUGCCUGAAACUCCCAAAGUGCUGGGCUUACAGGCAUAAGCCACUGCACCCAGCCCACUCUGUUCAUUUCUACUUUAUUAACUUUGAUGUAUACACCUUCUCAAUCUUAAGCCACUGCAAAUUAUUGUUAGAAAGAGGAAGCAUACAAAUAAGGAAAACAAAUGUUUGGCAUGAUUUUCUAAAGAGUGAUCAGUUGUGAAGGCUUUGUUUCUUCUUAAAUUCUAAAGAAUAGGAGAUGUAUGCAUACUUCUUACUAGGAAGAAAACCACCACCAUUCUUGUAAUUUUGCUAAUAUUUACUUUGUUGAAACAGUGGUAUUUUAUGCAAACAAAACAGAAAAGUCUUUAUUUGGGCAGGGCAGAGGCAAAGGCCUUUUCUCUAUUACUAAGAAUGCGUUGAGCAUCCCUAAUCUGAAAAAUGCAAAAUCCAAAAUCCAAAACUUUUUGAGCACCAACAUAAUACUCAAAGGAUUGGAGAAUUUUGGAUUUUGGGUUUUUGGAUUAGGGAUGCUCAACUGGUAAUUACAUAAUGUCAAUAUUUAAAAAACAAAAAAGAAAAACACUCUCAAAUUCAAAGCAUUUCAGAGAAGAGAUACUCAACCUGCAUUCUGGAAGAAGGCUUUGUCAUUUCCAUCACUGUCCAUGGAUUGUAAUGGACUUGUGGGGUGUCAAGUCUUCUAGAAUGAAAUCUGACUCACUCUCCUUUCCAAUAUAAAUAAUGUGUAGUCACAGACAUAGAAUCUUUGCACUUAUCUUCAGGAACAAUGUAUGUAGGUAUGUGUGUGUAUAAAUAUGUAAACCAAAAUUAGUACUCUAAGCCAAUUGAUGGACCCUUUCCCCUUGGCCAAGGGCAAUCCAAAGUUAACCUGAAAACCUAGUUCAGGGCAUGACAGGAAGUGGAUGUGUUAUACAUGCCUCCUUAUUCCCUCCUCCCUUUUGGAAUUCAGGACCAGUUGACCUGCAUUAACAUCACACAGAGACCUAAAGACUGAUAGGACAGACUCUUUAAGUCGAAUAAGAAACAUUUACGAUCUAUUCUCUCUGAAGCCUGCUACCUGGAGGCUUCAUCUACAGAUAAAACCUUCAUCUCUACAACCCCUUAUCUUCACCCAAACAUUCUAGGUCUUUAGAUAAGAAUUCUUUCAACCAAUUGCCAAUCAGAAAAAUCUUUAAAUCUGCCUAUCACCUGGAAUGCCACCCUCACCUUCCAGUUGUCCUACCUUUCCAGACCAAACCAAUGUACAUCUUACAUGUGUUGAUUGAUAUCUCAUGUCUCCCUAAAAUGUAUAAAAUCAAGCUCUAGCCUGACUACCUUGGGCACAUGUUCUUAGGAUCUCCAGGUGCUGUGUCACAGGCCAUUCAUUGGUCAGUCAUAUUUGGCUCAGAAUAAAUCAUCAGGCCUCCAUGUGCAAGCCUGGACCCAGAAAGCCUAAAGUCCUGCCUGCCUCGACCAAUCACCACCCCCUAGACCCCGAUACUGCUACCCCCAACCCCACCCUCCC
This 4624-nucleotide long non-coding RNA is filed under the name Callithrix jacchus (white-tufted-ear marmoset). Its description in RNAcentral is "lncRNA (ENSCJAG00000074811.1)". Lineage: Eukaryota; Metazoa; Chordata; Mammalia; Primates; Cebidae. The record is from RNAcentral.